UUGACCUCAAAUCAGGUAGGACUACCCGCUGAACUUAAGCAUAUCAAUAAGCGGAGGAAAAGAAACUAACAAGGAUUCCCCUAGUAACUGCGAGUGAAGAGGGAAAAGCUCAAAUUUAAAAUCUGGCUGUUCUAGUUAGCAGUCCGAGUUGUAGUUUAGAGAAGUGCUAUCCGCGCUGGCCUGUGCAUAAGUUUCUUGGAAAAGAACAUCAUAGAGGGUGACAAUCCCGUCUUUGGCACAGAUCACCAGGGCUUUUGUGAUGCGCUCUCGACGAGUCGUGUUGUUUGGGAAUGCAGCACUAAAUGGGUGGUAAAUUCCAUCUAAAGCUAAAUAUUGGCGAGAGACCGAUAGCGAACAAGUACCGUGAGGGAAAGAUGAAAAGAACUUUGAAAAGAGAGUGAAACAGUGCGUGAAAUUGUUGAAAGGGAACCGUUUGGUAUCAGCCCAUGGCCGUCCCCGAUCACCCGGGCUUCUGCCCGGUGCACUCGGGGACGGUCGGGCCAGCGUCGACUUUGUCCGCCGGAGAAAGGUCGGGGGAACGUGACUCCUCACGGAGUGUUAUAGCCCCCGGCGUCAUGCGGCGUGGCGGGGUCGAGGUCCGCG
Molecule: ribosomal RNA, 603 nt
Filed under: uncultured fungus
Lineage: Eukaryota; Fungi
Description: eukaryotic LSU rRNA
Rfam family: Eukaryotic large subunit ribosomal RNA
Source: RNAcentral